Molecule: ribosomal RNA, 253 nt
Filed under: uncultured bacterium
Lineage: Bacteria
Description: partial 16S ribosomal RNA
Rfam family: Bacterial small subunit ribosomal RNA
Source: RNAcentral
UACGUAGGGGGCAAGCGUUGUCCGGAGUUAUUGGGCGUAAAGCGCGUGUAGGCGGCCAGAUAGGUCUGCUGUGAAAACUCGAGGCUCAACCUCGAGCUGUCGGCGGAAACCAUCUGGCUAGAGUCCGGAAGAGGAGAGUGGAAUUCCUGGUGUAGCGGUGAAAUGCGCAGAUAUCAGGAAGAACACCUAUGGCGAAGGCAGCUCUCUGGGCCGACAUUGACGCUGAGGAGCGAAAGCGUGGGGAGCGAACAGG